Molecule: unclassified non-coding RNA, 684 nt
Filed under: Daphnia magna
Lineage: Eukaryota; Metazoa; Arthropoda; Branchiopoda; Diplostraca; Daphniidae
Description: uncharacterized LOC123474311, transcript variant X7
Source: RNAcentral
GUUGUACUAAUUAAUGUGUGAAGAUAGCCUAAGCAGUGAGCACGUAAAAAAUAAAGAGACUAAUUAAGCACAUGUUCUGCAUAGUUUUUUUUCUUUAGUAUUAACUUAAUUAAUUAGUGAUGGAAACUGAACAAUUGAAGGCUAACUCUAAUUCUUCGUCUGCAAGCUCAAUUACUGGAGCAAAACAGAAAAUUUAGAGGAAACACUUUUCAACCAGUACAUGAUGUGCUACCGAAUUCGUCCCUGACGGAAAGGGAAAAUGAGCUGGCAGUGGGAUUCAAGAAGUACGAAAAGGGGAAAAAUGGGCUUCCAGUUCUACAACGGAAACAAAAAGGAAAAGAAAAUCUUAGUAAGCCUUGCGAGCAGCUUUUCUGUUGCAUGAUGAAAAAAUGGCAUAGUAAUUAUAUCUGUCCCAUCAAACAAGACUUGGAGGAAUUAUCCAGAAUGUCACUAGGUAUUUGUUCAGUAAGCUACUAUCGAGACUGGUCCAGUAGAGAAAUGUCAGCUGAAUUAGAGAAAGUCUUCAAAGGACUGGAUAUCUGUGGAGGCUACUGCUUGUGUGUGAAGAGUGGAAAGUUCCUGAAACAUUUUCAAAGUAAUGUUCCCGAUGGAAAAUCUAUCAAGGUAACUUAGUUGUAAUGCAAAACUUACAAAUAAACAAAAUAAAUGUCAGGUUAUGAUCUA